UGCUUUACACAUGCAAGUCGAACGGUAGAGGGGGCAACCCCUUGAGAGUGGCGAACGGGUGAGUAAUGCAUCGGAACGUGCCCAGUCGUGGGGGAUAACUACUCGAAAGAGUGGCUAAUACCGCAUACGACCUGAGGGUGAAAGCGGGGGACCGAAAGGCCUCGCGCGAUUGGAGCGGCCGAUGUCAGAUUAGGUAGUUGGUGGGGUAAAGGCCUACCAGGCCUGCGAUCUGUAGCUGGUCUGAGAGGACGACCAGCCACACUGGGACUGAGACACGGCCCAGACUCCUACGGGAGGCAGCAGUGGGGAAUUUUGGACAAUGGGCGCAAGCCUGAUCCAGCCAUGCCGCGUGAGUGAAGAAGGCCUUCGGGUUGUAAAGCUC
Molecule: ribosomal RNA, 382 nt
Filed under: uncultured organism
Description: bacterial SSU rRNA
Rfam family: Bacterial small subunit ribosomal RNA
Source: RNAcentral